RNAcentral lists this ribosomal RNA (251 nucleotides) under uncultured Actinomycetales bacterium. Its description in RNAcentral is "partial 16S ribosomal RNA". It matches the Rfam family "Bacterial small subunit ribosomal RNA", at positions 79 to 334 of the family's 1533-position model. The record is from RNAcentral. Lineage: Bacteria; Bacillati; Actinomycetota; Actinomycetes; Actinomycetales.
CUUGCAGGGUACUCGAGUGGCGAACGGGUGAGUAACACGUGGGUGAUCUGCCCUGCACUUCGGGAUAAGCCUGGGAAACUGGGUCUAAUACCGGAUAGGAGCCAUUUUUAGUGUGAUGGUUGGAAAGUUUUUCGGUGUAGGUUGAGCUCGCGGCCUAUCAGCUUGUUGGUGGGGUAAUGGCCUACCAAGGCGGCGACGGGUAGCCGGCCUGAGAGGGUGGACGGCCACAUUGGGACUGAGAUACGGCCCAG